This 465-nucleotide ribosomal RNA is filed under the name uncultured bacterium. RNAcentral's name for it is "partial 16S ribosomal RNA". It matches the Rfam family "Bacterial small subunit ribosomal RNA", at positions 338 to 795 of the family's 1533-position model. The record is from RNAcentral.
CCUACGGGGGACAGCAGUAGGGAAUCUUCCACAAUGGGCGAAAGCCUGAUGGAGCAACGCCGCGUGGGUGAAGAAGGUCUUCGGAUCGUAAAACCCUGUUGUUAGAGAAGAAAGUGCGUGAGAGUAACUGUUCACGUUUCGACGGUAUCUAACCAGAAAGCCACGGCUAACUACGUGCAAGCAGCCGCGGUAAUACGUAGGUGGCAAGCGUUAUCCGGAUUUAUUGGGCGUAAAGGGAACGCAGGCGGUCUUGUAAGUCUGAUGUGAAAUCCUUCGGCUUAACCGGAGUAGUGCAUUGGAAACUGGGAGACUUGAGUGCAGAAGAGGAAGGUGGAACUCCAUGUGUAGCGGUGAAAUGCGUAGAUAUAUGGAAGAACACCAGUGGCGAAGGCGGCUCUCUGGACUGUAACUGACGCUGAGGUACGAAAGCGUGGGUAGCAAACAGGAUUAGAUACCCGUGUAGUC